RNAcentral lists this ribosomal RNA (119 nucleotides) under Triticum aestivum (bread wheat). Lineage: Eukaryota; Viridiplantae; Streptophyta; Magnoliopsida; Poales; Poaceae. The record is from RNAcentral.
GGAUGCGAUCAUACCAGCACUAAAGCAUCGGAUCCCAUCAGAACUCCGUAGUUAAGCGUGCUUGGGCGAGAGUAGUACUAGGAUGGGUGACCUCCUGGGAAGUCCUCGUGUUGCAUUCC